RNAcentral lists this ribosomal RNA (625 nucleotides) under Streptomyces anulatus. Its description in RNAcentral is "partial 23S ribosomal RNA". It matches the Rfam family "Bacterial large subunit ribosomal RNA", at positions 2307 to 2925 of the family's 2925-position model. The record is from RNAcentral. Lineage: Bacteria; Bacillati; Actinomycetota; Actinomycetes; Kitasatosporales; Streptomycetaceae.
CGCCCAAAGGUUCCCUCAGCCUGGUUGGCAAUCAGGUGUUGAGUGUAAGUGCACAAGGGAGCUUGACUGUGAGACCGACGGGUCGAGCAGGGACGAAAGUCGGGACUAGUGAUCCGGCAGUGGCUUGUGGAAGCGCUGUCGCUCAACGGAUAAAAGGUACCCCGGGGAUAACAGGCUGAUCUUCCCCAAGAGUCCAUAUCGACGGGAUGGUUUGGCACCUCGAUGUCGGCUCGUCGCAUCCUGGGGCUGGAGUCGGUCCCAAGGGUUGGGCUGUUCGCCCAUUAAAGCGGUACGCGAGCUGGGUUUAGAACGUCGUGAGACAGUUCGGUCCCUAUCCGCUGUGCGCGUAGGAAUAUUGAGAAGGGCUGUCCCUAGUACGAGAGGACCGGGACGGACGAACCUCUGGUGUGCCAGUUGUCCUGCCAAGGGCAUGGCUGGUUGGCUACGUUCGGAAAGGAUAACCGCUGAAAGCAUCUAAGCGGGAAGCCUGCUUCGAGAUGAGUAUUCCCACCCUCUUGAAGGGUUAAGGCUCCCAGUAGACGACUGGGUUGAUAGGCCAGAUGUGGAAGCCCUGUAAGGGGUGGAGCUGACUGGUACUAAUAGGCCGAGGGCUUGUCCUCAGUUG